UGUAAGCUGCUCACCUCUAGCCUGCUUUCACCCAACUCCCAGCAUCUGUGUGGUGACUCCAUGCCUCUUGCCCUCACUGCGCUUCUCCUCUCAGAAUGAAUCCACAGCAACACAUAUGUUCUCCCUGAUCCAUGGUAACUAAUAGAGUACCUAAAAGGGAAUCUAUAGGAGUGAAAUUGACACUUUGAGAUUCUAUUAUUUGAACAGUUUUAUCUCAACUCCUGAGGCACAGUUUUUGUGUUGAACUCUUUCUUUAGUGUAGGGUUAAUCUUAUGUGUAUAAAAUUAAUUGAAAAUAUAUCUUAGUAGAAAAUAAGCAUGGGAAUAGGAGCAGAAAGAGAAAAAAGGGUGGAAGGGUUGGUAGAGUGGAAAAAAAUUACUAUGUUCCUAAAUUUCUAUUAUGAACUUUAUGAAGUUUUUAUACCUUAAAUUUAUUUUUUAAAAUUUAUUUAUUUGACAGGUAGAGUUAUAGACAGUGAGAGAGAGAGAGAGAGAGACAGAGAAAAAGGUCUUCUGUCCGCUGGUUCACUCCCCAAAUGGCCGCUAUGGCCGGCACUGCACAGAUCUGAAGCCAGGAGCCAGGAGCUUCUUCCUGGUCUCCCACGUGGGUGCAAGGGUCCAAGCACUUGGGCCAUCCUCCACUGCCUUUCUGGGCCACAGCAGAGAGCUGGACUGGAAAAGGAGCAACCAGGACUAGAACCCAGCACCCAUGUGGGAUGCUGGCACUGCAGGCAGAGGAUUAACCAAGUGAGCCACGGCAAUGGCCCCUAUAUGUUAAAUUUAAAAAAGUAAAAAUAAAUUUUAAAAGUUUAAAAAAAGAACUAAGCAUAAAUAUUACUUGUACCAAAAACCUCAAUGGAUCUCAAUGAUAUGAACUGUUACCUUUCUUUUGAUUUAUUUAUUUAUUUGUUUGUAUAUUGUAAAUACAACAUUAGGAACAUAGUAAUUCUUCCCACCAUGCCUGUCUUCCCAGUGAUUCUCCACUCCCCCCCCCACCUCUCCCCUCUGGUGUUUGGUCUGGGAAAGAAAAAAAAAAAAAACAGAAAGAAAAGAAAAGAGAGAAAGAGAGAAAGAGAGGAAGGAAGGAAGGAAGGAAGGAAGGAAGGAAGGAAGGAAGGAAGGAAGGAAGGAAGGAAGGAAGGGUAAGAAUGGAGUAAAAAAAAUUAAGAGAAUUGUUCCUCAACAGUCUAAAGAAGGGCUGUUCUUUGUUAUUGCUUCUUGAAGAUGUUUUUGCUUUUUUCCCCCUUCUUCUUUUCCCUUACUUCCUCUCCCUUCUUUCCUUUUUGAAACUUAAUUGUCUUUAAAGAAUAACCCAAGGAUGAUGCAUCUUUUGUAAGCUCUUAGACAUGACUAUACUUAUGAAACAUAGUAUUCAAUGUUUCAUACAAUACACUAAAGGUUAGUGAUUCAUUUUUAAGAUUUAUUUAUUUUAUUUGAAAGGCAGAGUUAUAAAGAGGCUGAGGUAGAAAAAGAAGAGAGAAAGAGAGAGAGAUAGGUCUGCUGGUUGCUGGUUCACUCUCCAAUUGGCCACAAUGGCUGGAGCUGCACCUAUCCGAAGCCAGGAGCCAGUAGCUUCUUUCAGGUCUCCCAUACGGGUGCAGGGGCUCAAGUACUUAGACCAUCUUCCACUGCUUUCCCAGGCCAUAUCAGAGAGAUAGAUCAGAAGUGGAGUAGCCAGAAGUUGAACCAGCACCCAUAUGGGAUGCUGGCACUGCAGUGGGCAGCUUUACCCACUAUGCCACAGCACCAGCCCCAAGGAAGUGAUUCUUGAGAAAAAGUUUUAUUAUUAAGUCUCAUGAUACAAUUUUUUGUGGACAGAGGUUCUGCAUGGGAAGUUAGUGCACAGUGACUCUUUUUUAUUUAACAAAUAACACUCAUAUAUGACAUCGUUGAUCAUCAAAGGUUCUUGGCAUGAGCUGACUCAGCUAUGGAAGCCUUUUGGAUCCAGUAGCUCAACAAGGCCAUAAGCAAAGUGGAAGUUCUCUCCUCCCUUCAGAGAAAAGCACCUCCUUCUUUGGUGGCAACUUCUUUCCACUGGGUUCUCAACUGCAGGAGUCCCUUAUGUUAGACUUUUUUUUUUCCCCAGAGUGCUUUGGCUUUCCAUGCUUGAAAUGCUCCCACUGGGCUUUCCAGGCAGACUGGAAUGCCUUAAGGGCCAAUUCUGAGGUUAGAGUGCAACUUAAAGUGAUUGUCAUUCUAUGAGUCACUGUAUGGACUGCUUCCCAUGAUGGAGCCUUCACUCCUUUUUAAUUCUAUUUUUGUUUCCAAACACUUGGUUCUAUUAAUGUGAUCACUUUAACUCUUGAUCGUAUGUAUAAGAUCACUUUACCACUUGUUCCUAUUCAUUUGAUCUUUGUAACACUUAAGCUGCUAUUUUUAUCAGUCAACUUAAGGGAUUUUGGAGUCUUACGGCUAGUUGUUAGGUUGUACCCUUAGAAGUAGGUCCAUAUGAAUAUAUGUAGGACUAUACUGCUUUGCAGUUGCAUACUUCAUACAUUUCACAAUUACAACUUUAUGAUCUUGGUGAUUCUUCCCACUGUGCCCACCCUCCUGCCCUCACUCCCACCCGCCUCUUCUUCCCUUUCUUAGUCUCACACUUAUUCUUUACUAAGAUUUAUUUUCAAUUAACUUUAUAUGUAUAUGAUUAACUAUGUUAAGUAUAGCAUUCAAUGAAUCAUAUGAAAGAGAAAAAGAUAAGAAAAAUAUGAUAAAAGAAAAGAUAAACAAAGAUAUAGAAUAAGAGCUUUCCUCAACAAUCAAGAGGAGAGCUGUUCAUAAUCAUUGCUUCUCUAAGUGUCAAUUUUGUUUCUACAUGUUGUCUUUUAGGUGCUCUAUUAGUUAUCCCAUGUCAGGGAAAACAUAUAAAAUUUGUCCCUUUGGGGCUGGCUUAUUUCACUAAGUAUGAUAUUUUCCAAUUUCAUCCAUUUUGUUGUGAUGAUCAGAUUUCUUUUUGUGGUUUUUACUGCUGUAUAUUAUUCUAUGAUGUUCAUAUCCCAUAAUUUCUUUUUCCAUCCUUCAGUUGACAGGCAUUAGGGUUGAUUCCAUGUCUUUGCUAUUGUGAAUUGAGCUGUGAUAAAUAUGGAGGUACAGAUAACUCUUCCAUAUUCUGAUUUCAUUUCCCUUGGGUAGAUUCCCAGAAGUGGGAUGGCUGGGUCAUGUCUAUAUUCAGACCUCUGAGGUAUCUCCGCAUUUUCUUCCAUAAUGGCUGUACCAGUUUACAUUCCCACCAAUAGUGAAUUAGUGUGCCUUUUUUCCCACAUCCUUACCAGCAUUUGCUGUUUAUUGAAUUCUGUAUGAAAUUCAUUCUAACUGGGGUGAAGUGAAACCUCACUGUGAUUUUGAUUUGCAUUUUUUAUGUGUCUGUUGGCCAUUUGGAUUUCCUUUUCUUAAAAAUGUCUGUUUAAGUCCUUUGCCCAUUUCCUAACUGGAUUGUUUGUUUUGUUGUUGUUGAGUUUCUUGAUCUUUUUGUAUAUUUUGGUUAUUAAUCCUUUAUCAGUUGUAUAGUUUGCAAAUAUUUCCUACCAUUCCAUUGGUUGUCUCUUCACUUUGCUGAUUGUUUCUUUUGAAGUACACAGACUUUUCAGUUUGCUAUAAUCUCAUUUGCGGAUUUUGGCUUUGAUUGCCUGUGCCUCUGGGGUCUUUUCCAAAAGUGCUUUGUCUAUGCUGAUGUCUUAUAGGAUUUCCCCCAAGUUCUCUAAUAAUUUGGUGGUGUCAGGUUAUAGAUUUAGGUCUUUAAUCCAUUUUGAGUAGAUUUUCGUGCAAGGUGUCAGGUAAAGGUUUCUGCUUCUUCAUGUGGAGAUCCAGUUUUCCAAGCCCAUUUGUUGAAGAGACUGCCCUUGCUCCAAGAGUUGAUUUUAGCUCCUUUGUCAAAGAUAAGUUGGUUAUAGAUGCUUGGAUUGAUUUCAGGUGUUUCUAUUCUGUUCCAUUUGUCUACCCAUCCCUUUUUGUACCAGUACUAGGCUAUUUUGAUUAUAACUGCCCUGUAGUAUAUCUUUUUUUUUUUUUUUUUGACAGGCAGAGUGGACAGUGAGAGAGAGAGAGAGAGACAGAGAGGAAGGUCUUCCUUUUACCAUUGGUUCACCAUCCAAUGGCCGCUGCGGCCGGCAUGCUGCAGCCGGCGCACCACGCUGAUCCAAAGGCAGGAGCCAGGUGCUUCUCCUGGUCUCCCAUGGGGUGCAGGGCCCAAGGACUUGAGCCAUUCUCCACUGCACUCCCAGGCCACAGCAGAGAGCUGGACUGGAAGAGGGGCAACUGGGACAGAAUCCGGUGCCCCGACCGGGACUAGAACCUGAUGUGCCAGCGCUGCAGGCAGAGGAUUAGCCUAUUGAGCCACUGCGCCAGCCUGUAGUAUAUCUUAAAAUAUGGUAUUGUGAUGCCUAGGGAUCUGUUUUUGUUGUAUGAUAGCUUUAGCUAUUCAGAGUUUCCUGUGUUUCCAUAUGAAUUUCAACAUCAUUUUUUCUACAUCUGAGAAGAUUGUCUUUCAUAUUUUGAUUUGUAUUACAUUGAAUCUGUAAAUUGCUUUCAGAAGAACAUUUUGAUGAUAUUGAUUCUUCCAAUCUAUAAGCAUGGAAGUUUUACCAAUUUGCAGUAUCUUUCUCUAUUUCUUUCUUUAAUGUUUUGUAAUUCUCAUUGUAGAGAUCUUGGAUCCUUGGUUUAACUUAUUCCCAGGUAUUUGAUUUAUUUUUGUAGCUAUUGUGAAUGGGAUUGAUAUUAGAAGCUCUUUCUCAGCUGUAGCCUUGUCUACAUAUACAAAGGCUCUUGGUUUAUGUGUGUUGAUUUUGUAUCUGGCUACAUUUCCAAACUCUUCUAUGAGUUCCAAUAAUUGCUUAGUGGAGUCUUUUGGAUUCCCUGUGUAUAGUAUCAUGUCAUCUGCAAAUAGGGAUAGUUUGACUUCCUCUUUCCUAAUUUUUACCCUUUUGAUUUUUAUUUUCUUGUCCAGUGGCUCUGGCUAGAACUUCUAGGACUAUAUUGAAAAGCAGUGAUGAGAGUGGGCAUCCUUGUCUGGUUCCAGAUUCCAGUGGAAAUGCUUCCAACAUUUCCCUGUCCAAUAGGAUCCUGCCUGUGGGUUUGUCAUAAAUUGCCUUGAUUGUGUUGAGAAAUGUUCCUUCUAUACUCAAUUUGCUUAAAGUUUUUAUCAUGCAAGGAUGUAUUUUGUCAAAUGCUUUCUCUGCAUCUGUUGAGAUAUCAUCCACUUUUUGUUCUUCAAUUUAACGUGAUGUAUCACAUUGAAUGAUUUGUGAAUGUUGAACCAUCCCUUUGUACCAGAAAUAAAUCCCACUUGGUCUGGGUGGAUGAUCUCUCUGAUGUGUUGUUGUGUUUGAUUGUCUAGUGUUUUGUUGAGGAUUUUUACAUCUAUAUUCAUCAUUAGAUUGGUUUCUAGUUCUCUUUCUCUGUUGUAUAUUUUUCAGGUUUAGGAAUUAAGGUGAUGCUGGCUUCAUAGAAAGAAUUUGGGAGGAUUCCCUCCCUUUUGAUUGCUUUGAAUAGCUUGAAAAGAAUUGGAGUUAGUUCUUUAAAUGUUUGGUGGAAUUCAGUUGUGAAGCCAUCUGGUCCUGGGCUUUUCUUUGUUGGGAGGGUCUUUACUACUGAUUCAAGUUCUGUCUUGGUUAUUUGUCUGUCUAAGUUUCCUACGUCUUCAUGACUCAAUUUAGGUAGGUUGUAUCUGCCCAAGAAUUUAUCCAUUUCUUCUAGGUUUCCCAUUUUGUAGGCAUGCAGUUCUUUAUAACAAUUUCUGAUGAUUCUUUUUAUUUCUGUGGUGUCUGCUGUUACAUUUCCUUUUUCAUAUCUCUUUUUAUUAAUUUAGGUCUUCUCCUUUUUUUGGUUGGUUGGGCCAAUGGUGUGUCAAUUCUGUUUACUUUUUCAAAAAACCAGCUCUUCGUUUUGUUGAUCUCGUGUCUUAUGUAUUAUUUUACUGGUUUUGAUUUUGUUAGUUUCUUCUCUAAUUUUAAAUAUUUAUUUUCUCCUACUAGAUUUGGUUUGCUGUUGUUUUUUCUAGGUCUUUGAGGUGCAUUGAUAGCUCAUUUAUUUGGUGCCAUUCCAGUUUGUUGAUGUAGGCUCCGAUUGCUAUAAACUCUCCUCUUAACACUGCUUUUGCUGUAUCUCAUAAAUUUUGAUAUGUUGAAUUGUCAACUUUCUUUGUUUCCAAAAAUCUUUUGAUUUCUUUGAUGACCCAUUUUUCAUUCAGGAGCAUAUUGUUCAGUCUCAAUGUGUUUGCAUAUGUUCUGGGGAUCCCUGAAUUGUUGAUUACCAACUUCAUUCCACUGUGGUCUAGAAUAACCAUGGUAUGAUUUUUAUUUUUUUUGAAUUUGCUUUAAGUUGCCUUAUGGUCUAGCAUGUGGUCAAUCCUAGAGAAAAGUUCCAUGCACUGGUGAGAAAAAUGUGUAUUCUUUGGCUGUAGGGUGGAAAGCUCUGUAGAUAUCUGAUAGGUCCAUUUGGUCUAUAGUGUCAAUUAAGUCUGUUGUUUUCUUGUUGAUUUUUUGUCUGGUUGAUCUGUCCCCUAUUACUAUUGUUUUUGAGUCUAUGUUUCCCUUUAAGCCCAUUAACUAUCCUUUUUUAAAAAAGACUUAUUUAUUUAUUCGAAAGUCAGAGUUACACAGAGAGAGGAGAGUUAGAGAGAGAGAAAGAAAGGUCUUCCAUAGGAUGGCUCUCUCCCCAGUUGGCUGCAAUGGCCGGAGCUGUGCCAAUCCAAAGUCAGGAGCCAGGAGCUUCUUCUGGGUCUCCCACACAGGUGCAGGAGCCUAAGGACUUGGGCCAUCCUCUACUACUUUCCCAGGCCACAGCAGAGAGCUAGAUGGGAAAUGGAGCAGCUGGGUCUCGAACCAGUGCCCAUAAGGAAUGCUGGCACUUCAGGCCAGGGCAUUAACCUACUGUGCCACAGUGCUAGACCUUAUUAACUAUUCUUUCAAAUAGCCAGGUACCUGUAAUUAGAUGUAUAUACAUUUAUAAUAGUAACUUUUUCCUGUUGAAUUGCUCCAUUAAUCAUUAUAUAGUGCUCUUCUUUAUCUCUUGGAAUAGUUUUUGUGUUAAAGUCUAUUUUGCCCAAUAUUAGGAUGGCUACACCAGCUCUUUUUUGGUUUCUGUUAACAUGGAUUAUCUUUUCCCUCCUUUCACUUUCAGUCCUUGUGCAGCUUUGUUGGUGAUGUGUGUUUCUUUUAGGCAGCAAAUAAAUGGACUUUCUUUUUUUAAUCCACUCAGCAAAUCUGUGUCUUUUAACUGGAGAGUUCAGACCAUUUACUUUCAGGGUGACUAUUUUUCAGUAAUGACUUUGCCCUUCCAUAUUUCCCUUAAUAGUCCUAUUUUUUUUUUUUACUUUGGGUUACCUUUGUAUUUUUAUGGGGUAAUUUUCUGGCUUCACCUCUUUUCAUUGUGAUGACCAUGUUUAUGUGUGUAGCACAUACUUGAGCAUUUUUUGUAGGGCUGCAUGGGUGGUUACACAUUCUUUCAAUUUCUGUUUGUUAUUGAAGAUCUUUAUUUCACUUUUGUUUAUAAAUGAGAGCUUUGCAGAUAUAGUAUUCACAUUCUGAAUGUGAUCUGGCAUUUCUCUCAUGUACAUUUUAGAAUCUUUUCUUUAUGUUUUACUGUGGAGAGUUUGACUACAAUGUGUCAUGUUGAAGAUCUUUUCUGAUCAUGUCUAUUGGGAGUUCUAUGUGCUUCCUGUACUUGGAUAUCCUUUUCUUUCUCCAAAUUGGGGAAGUUUUCUGUUAUUCUUUCAUUAAGAAGACCUUCUAAUCUUUUCUCUAUUUCUACACCUUCAGGAAUUCCCAGCACCUGUAUGUUGAAUCAUUUGAUAGCAUCUUAUGGAUCUCCAACAGUGGCUUUUAGUUUUCUAACUUCUUCUUUUUUGGGGGUGAGGAGGUCUGACUGUAAAAUUUCCUGAAAUUGUCUUCUAGUUCUGAUAUUCUUUCUUCUGUCUCAUCUACUCUGUGGCUAAGACUUUCCACUGCAUUUUUAUUUGAACUAUAGAGUUCUUCAUUUCUAGUAUUUCAUUCUGAUUUCUCUUUAAUAUCUCAGUUUUGUCGGAAAAAAUUCCAUUUAGUUUGUGAAUUUGCUUUUGGUUGCUUCUAAGUAGUCUGAUGAUUAAUUUUCUGAAUUCUGUUCCUGGGAUAUAUUCAAUCUCUUCAUCUUCAUCUUCUGCUAUUGAAGUGUUGCAGGGUUACGUUAGGGGACUCAUAGUAUCUUUCUUAUCCUUAUUUAAGUUUUUUCCUUUGAUUUUGGGCAUUUGUGUGGCUUAGUGGGAUGUCUAUAUUCAAUGAGUACCAGGAGUCAUGUGGUGGGUGUGGCCUGGUUGCUUUUUUCAGUAUUCCAGAAUAGAGCAGGUAUCCAAAGUAAGGCCCCUGUGGAGCUUUGUAGCUCUCCUCUGGAUGUCUGUAGAGGAGAGUGUUUACCUCUGUUGGUGUGACCAGCCCUUCUCAUCGUAGCUGCAGGAUGCCCUGGUGUGAGUCUACAGCUCUGAAAAUCCGUGAAUUCCCCUCCCCUUCUUACCUGGUCUGCUGGGUCCUCCAUUCUCCUCUCCAGGUUGGAGCUUCCACCAUUCCCCCUCUCCUGUUCUUUUUUUUUUUUUUAUUUGCUCUUUUGGCAUGGACAUGGACAAUCUCUACUGUUCUCGCUGGAUUUUCUGCUGUGAAUUCUCCAUGGCUUUGUCUGAGGCAUGUAGUUUCAACCCUUAUUAAACAAUAAUUUUGCCUGGUGUGAUUUGGACAAUCCUGUUGCCAUUCCACCAUUUUGAAAUCCCCUGUUAGCUUUCCAAAGUAUUCUUAUUCCAAACUCUUAAUUCAAUUUGUGUAAUACUUUCAUACUUUGGGAAAAUACUGAAAGCUAAUAAGACAUUUGGAAAAACUAAACCACAACUCUAUGGACAUAGGAAAUGGAGAGAGAAAUGCAAAGAAAAACAUUAACAGAACACAUUGAGCUUGGUUAAAUGGAUAUUAUGUAUUCAUUUUUUCUUUCUGGCUCCUAAUUUUUGUAUUUUUGCGUGUAUUCAUUUUUGUGGUCUGUCCUGAGAAAGCCCAGUACUGAUGGAACAGAGCUGUUAGAGCCAAAUGCUUGCAGUUGAGAAUUUUGAUUCUACUUGUGUAUGGAUAAGGGUCAGGUACUAAGCAUGAACACAAAGAAGCGUCUUCAAACCAGGAAAGACCAAAGACUUGCUGUUCUCCAAAUAUGGUGCAGAGCCCCUGGGGGAUUCAAGUGACCAGAAAGUCUGAAUCAGAAGCCUUAAAACAGCAAGACCAAAAAAAAAAAAAAAAAAAAAAAAAGGAGGAAAGAAAGAAAGAAAAGAAAAAAGUUAUUCACAAUCAUCUAAAAAUAUGCAAGAAAGAAAUAGCACACCACAGCCCACAGCUCUACCAAAUCGAGGCAUAAAGUCAGGCCAAGGAGUUGAACAGCUUGAGCGCACACAUCACCACCGUGAGUGACACAAAGGAAAAGGCAAGGGCAGCAAAUGUACACUCCAACCCCAACUUCCACAGGUGGAAACAUCUGUUCAGAUUGUGGCCGCACCUGCUGCCUGUGUAGAACAUGGAGAGAUGUCUCAGUUGGGGAGAAAGGCUUAUCAGAGUCACCUACUCUGUACAGCUUCCUGACGGUCUUGCUAGCUGUGUCCAUUUCAGUACUGGAAAUUUUGUGAAAGAGCCACUCCGCUUGUUUAGAUGAAAAAUGAAGCACAACUUUUACUUUGAAAGGCAGUCGGAUUUCUUUCAGACUCUUUUCCCUGAAUAGAAACCUCGUUCUUCAAACAACAACAUUGACUGCACUGAAUUAAAGACGCAGUAUCAAGGAGACAAGAUGGCAUUUUGUUCUCAUAAAGUGAUGGACAAAUCACACGGAUAAUCUAUUAGGAUGAUGGAUGGUAUACAUUUUAAUAUGAAACAUCAACUGUAAAAGUAAGUGUAAAGGCCGAAAAUUCUUGAGAGGGUGACAACUCUUCACAUGAGUACACUAGCAAGCCACCCCCUCAGACUUGGAGAAUAUGCAGAUUUUAAGUCGAUUCCCUAAAAUGGGAGGGCUGAAGUCUUCACAGGGGUGCACAGAAGACCGGUACACCAAAAACUUCAUCUUUGUGGGACAGAUCUUUUUCCAGACUGCAAGUGGGUAUGAAAUUAUAUCCAGAUUCAAUGUAAAAAGUCACAGAUGCAAUGAAAAAAAUCCAGUUUGGCUUCAGUAUUCAAAAUAAAUUCAUUUGAUGAGUGUGUUCUGCAUUUUAGAACAUAAAUCUGUCUCAUAGAUAAAAUGUGGCUGGCAAGGCUGAUGAGGAUUCAGCAUGGAGAAUGAGGGAUGCAUGGUUUUGGCGAUCUUAUCCUUGCAAUUCCUUCCCCAGUGAGUCUCGGCAAGAGAUGACCUCCACCUGGAACAGACAUCGCCCAUUUGCCCAUGUGCCAGAGCCAGAAUUUCACGUCUAGGGCUACGGCUACAUUUGGUAAACAGGUUAGGGUCAGUUGCAUUAAAUAAAUGUUUUUCUUGCUUUUGAAAGCCAAUGUUUUGGAAACCAAAGGAAAUAAUUAUGUCCUACUUAAGGGAGGUUUAUUUUAAAGCCUAGCUAGGGCCCCACAGUGCCACUGCUUCCAUUUUUCAGAAUUGAUUUUCCACCACAUACACCAUUACUGUGAAGUU
Oryctolagus cuniculus (rabbit) is the source of this 10601-nucleotide non-coding RNA. Lineage: Eukaryota; Metazoa; Chordata; Mammalia; Lagomorpha; Leporidae. The record is from RefSeq and is a predicted model, not a curated record.